UAUCACUGUGUCAGUUUUGUGUUUGGUAUCAUUCCUGAACGUAACCUGAGGGCUAUUGCAUGAAACCAGGAUAAGGGAUUAAACUGGUAAAUUCACGUUAUCCUGGAUAAAUGUAGCUUUUACUUGGUUGCACGAAAGCAGGUUCAAUUAAACCCAGCCAAGUAACCAUGGCAAUCUAUUAUUUGCAGCUAGCCUGCUCCAGACCAGGUAACAGCCAGGCUAAGAUUAAUCCUGGAGACUCAUGUCUUAAAUCAGCUGCCGCUCUGAUCCAAAACAAACGUGUUCAACAGUUAUUCCGUUGUCUCCUGAAUGUGUUCUGAUUUAUCUUUUUUAACAUGCAUUACUUGUCACUAUUGCUGUCACCAGUUUGAUUUUAAACUCUACUAUUGCAGUUGUUUAGAUCAGUGGUCCACAACCUUUUUUGCCUCACGGGCCGUUUUCAUGUCAGACAAUAUUUCGUGGACCAGUCAAAAAGGUCCGGCAGAUAAUAAACACGCCGAACUAACAGGGGGGUUAGUAGUCGUUGGGGGCGGGUGGACCUUCAUUAUUAAACCUUCAAGUAUGAUUCACUGCAGGACUCCUGUAUUAUUAUUAUUAUGUCUGUUUUGUAGCCUUGAAAUUUCAAACUAUUACGUUAUUCCAACGAAACCUUCUUAUUUAUUCUACAAAACGUAAUAUUCAAUAAUUUUAACAAACAAAGUUACACGAUGUGAACAAUAUGGCAAUUCCAUUUCUUAGAGUGGCAGCGAGAUCUUGGGUUUGAGUCACUCAACGGCCUUUCUGUUUGGAGUUAGUUGAGCCGAGGUUGGCUGGGAUUCCCACAAUUGUGCAAAAAAAGCUAUGUAUCUAGUAUGAGAAAGGGUUAGUUACUACUUUAAAAGGGUGAGGGCUUUAAAACAUACAUUUGAAAAAAAAUCACAACAUGUUUUUGUAAAAAGUCAUAGGAGCUUAUAAUACCAUAUUCCCCUACUAGAGAGCUGCACUCCAUAAAUGCGGGGUUACUUGUUCUUACUAGAGCAGGGGUGCCCAACCUUUUUUGAACCAAGAUCUACUUUUAAAGUUGAUAGUGAUCGAGAUCUACCAAAGUGUUACGGACCUGCCGGCUCCUCCUCCUCGUUUUGUCUAUUUGCAUCUCCCCUACAGGUGAGCGGAGCACAGGUGUGACGGGUUUCCUAUGAUUCCUUCCAGGAACACCUGGGAUGGCUUUAUGUACCGGGAUUUGCGGGAGCUCUUGGUAUGCGGGAGGGUGAUUGGAGCUGCUGGAGAGUAGAGUGUUUUUUGGCCUGUGGACAAAAGGGUUCCUGUGUCCAGUCCAUGUGAAUGGGCUGUCAACAUACCGAAACGAAAGUUAAGUGCUCAUUUUGAGUUUAUAGAAAUCAUUUAAAAAAAAAUUAAGAAUGUUUUGUUAUUUUGUUGUGUGGGGUUUCGAACAUUUUUUUUGCAGAGGCCUUUAGGGGCCUCUGUCUUAAGGGAGGGGGUGUUACGGACCUGCCGGCUCCUCCUCCUCGUUUUGUCUAUUUGCAUCUCCCCUACAGGUGAGCGGAGCACAGGUGUGACGGGUUUCCUAUGAUUCCUUCCAGGAACACCUGGGAUGGCUUUAUGUAUCCUGAGGGGUUUAAAAGCUGGGGAGACCAGGUGGAAGGAGGGCUGCCGCUUCUCCUUCUCUCCCGCACCGUUUUGCUGAUUUUGUUUCCUUUUACAUGACUUUUCAUAUACCCUGAUUGCAUACGCUUUCAGUUCUCCUGACUAACACUUAUACUGACUUUAUUUACUUU
Long non-coding RNA from Gasterosteus aculeatus aculeatus (three-spined stickleback), 1775 nucleotides. The record is from Ensembl. Lineage: Eukaryota; Metazoa; Chordata; Actinopteri; Perciformes; Gasterosteidae.